UACGUAGGGUGCAAGCGUUGUCCGGAAUUAUUGGGCGUAAAGAGCUCGUAGGCGGUUGGGUAAGUCGGGUGUGAAAACUCCAGGCUCAACUUGGAGAUGCCACCCGAUACUGCUCUGACUUGAGUUCGGUAGGGGAGUGGGGAAUUCCUGGUGUAGCGGUGAAAUGCGCAGAUAUCUGGAGGAACACCGGUGGCGAAGGCGGCAUCCUGGACCGAUACUGACGCUGAGGAGCGAAAGCCAGGGGAGCAAACGGG
Molecule: ribosomal RNA, 254 nt
Filed under: uncultured bacterium
Lineage: Bacteria
Description: partial 16S ribosomal RNA
Rfam family: Bacterial small subunit ribosomal RNA
Source: RNAcentral